Molecule: ribosomal RNA, 253 nt
Filed under: uncultured bacterium
Lineage: Bacteria
Description: partial 16S ribosomal RNA
Rfam family: Bacterial small subunit ribosomal RNA
Source: RNAcentral
GACGAAGGCAGCGAGCGUUGUUCGGAAUUACUGGGCGUAAAGAGUGUGUAGGCGGUUUUCCAAGUUUGGUGUGAAAUCUCCCGGCUUAACUGGGAGGGUGCGCCGAAAACUGGGAGGCUUGAGUGCCGGAGAGGAUAGCGGAAUUCCUGGUGUAGCGGUGAAAUGCGUAGAUAUCAGGAGGAACACCUGCGGUGUAGACGGCUAUCUGGACGGCCACUGACGCUGAGACACGAAAGCGUGGGUAGCAAACAGG